AUGCCACCAGAGCGGUACGCUGUCCAGCACCUCUACAUCGCUCCGUCGUGCCCCGUCGUAGCCAUGGGACAGUCGGAUGGGGUAGCCGCCGCCCCCAAGGAGCCAGAUCUGGCGCCGAAGCUCCCAUGGACAGCAGCGGCAGGUUCCCCGGGCGACCAGCCCCCCGUGUCUCUGCAUCGUCCGCGCCGCUGCACUGUGCCACCGCUGGACGCACGCGAGUCUCCUCCGCCCGCGCCGCCGCACUGUGCCACCGCAGGUCGCGCGCGAAUCCCUGCCGCCAGAUCACGCCCUGCGCCGCCACGCCCGGACAAGAGGAAGGGAAACACCGUCCCUGCCGCCACCGCACGGGCUUUGCUCGGGGAUGCCCUCAGGUGGCGGCUGAAGGAGAAUGGGGAUGAGUGGUGGAGGAGUCGACAUCGGCUAGGAUAA
RNAcentral lists this ribosomal RNA (429 nucleotides) under Triticum aestivum (bread wheat). Its description in RNAcentral is "partial small subunit ribosomal RNA". The record is from RNAcentral. Lineage: Eukaryota; Viridiplantae; Streptophyta; Magnoliopsida; Poales; Poaceae.